This 378-nucleotide unclassified non-coding RNA is filed under the name plant metagenome. RNAcentral's name for it is "partial contains 5.8S ribosomal RNA, internal transcribed spacer 2, and large subunit ribosomal RNA". The stretch from base 1 to 105 matches the Rfam family "5.8S ribosomal RNA", at positions 50 to 154 of the family's 154-position model. The record is from RNAcentral.
GAAAUGCGAUAAGUAAUGUGAAUUGCAGAAUUCAGUGAAUCAUCGAAUCUUUGAACGCACCUUGCGCUCCUUGGUAUUCCUUGGAGCAUGCCUGUUUGAGUAUCAUGAAAUCUUCAAAGUAAAUCUUUUGUUAACUCAAUUGGUUUCUACUUUGGUAUUGGAGGUCUUUGCAGCUUCACACCUGCUCCUCUUUGUUCAUUAGCUGGAUCUCAGUGUUAUGCUUGGUUCCACUCGGCGUGAUAAGUUAUCUAUCGCUGAGGACACUGUAAAAGGUGGCCAAGGUAAAUGCAGAUGAACCGCUUCUAAUAGUCCAUUGACUUGGACAAUACUUUUAUGAUCUGACCUCGGAUCAGGUAGGGAUACCCGCUGAACUUAAGC